This 395-nucleotide ribosomal RNA is filed under the name uncultured bacterium. RNAcentral's name for it is "partial 16S ribosomal RNA". It matches the Rfam family "Bacterial small subunit ribosomal RNA", at positions 523 to 918 of the family's 1533-position model. The record is from RNAcentral.
AUACGUAGGGUGCAAGCGUUAAUCGGAAUUACUGGGCGUAAAGCGUGCGCAGGCGGUUUUGUAAGACAGAGGGGAAAUCCCCGGGCUCAACCUGGGAAAUGCCUUUGUGGCUGCAAGGCUAGAGUACGGCAGAGGGGGAUGGAAUUCCGCGUGUAGCAGUGAAAUGCGUAGAUAUGCGGAGGAACACCGAUUGCGAAGGCAAUCCCCUGGGCCUGUACUGACGCUCAUGCACGAAAGCGUGGGGAGCAAACAGGAUUAGAUACCCUGUUAGUCCACGCCCUAAACGAUGUCAACUGGUUGUUGGGUCUUCAUUGACUCAGUAACGAAGCUAACGCGUGAAGUUGACCGCCUGGGGAGUACGGCCGCAAGGUUGAAACUCAAAGGAAUUGACGGGG